Molecule: ribosomal RNA, 497 nt
Filed under: uncultured bacterium
Lineage: Bacteria
Description: partial 16S ribosomal RNA
Rfam family: Bacterial small subunit ribosomal RNA
Source: RNAcentral
GACGAACGCUGGCGGCGUGCCUAAUACAUGCAAGUUGAGCGCUGAAGGUUGGUACUUGUACCAACUGGGUGAGCAGCGAACGGGUGAGUAACGCGUGGGGAAUCUGCCUUUGAGCGGGGGACAACAUUUGGAAACGAAUGCUAAUACCGCAUAAAAACUUUAAACACAAGUUUUAAGUUUGAAAGAUGCAAUUGCAUCACUCAAAGAUGAUCCCGCGUUGUAUUAGGUAGUUGGUGAGGUAAAGGCUCACCAAGGCGAUGAUACAUAGCCGACCUGAGAAGGUGAUCGGCCAAAUUGGGACCGAGACACGGCCCAAAACUCUACGGGAGGCAGCAGUAGGGAAUCUUCGGCAAUGGACGAAAGUCUGACCGAGCAACGCCGCGUGAGUGAAGAAGGUUUUCGGAUCGUAAAACUCUGUUGGUAGAGAAGAACGUUGGUGAGAGUGGAAAGCUCAUCAAGUGACGGUAACUACCCAGAAAGGGACGGCUAACUACGUG